RNAcentral lists this transfer RNA (74 nucleotides) under Candidatus Woesearchaeota archaeon. RNAcentral describes it as "tRNA-Phe". It matches the Rfam family "tRNA". Rfam says of the family: Transfer RNA (tRNA) molecules are approximately 80 nucleotides in length. Their secondary structure includes four short double-helical elements and three loops (D, anti-codon, and T loops). Lineage: Archaea; Nanobdellati; Candidatus Woesearchaeota. The record is from RNAcentral.
GGGAUCGUAGCUCAGUCUGGGAGAGCACGCGACUGAAGAUCGCGGAGUCGUGGGUUCAAAUCCCACCGAUCCCA